UACGUAGGUGGAAAGCGUUAUCCGGAAUUAUUGGGCGUAAAGAGCGCGCAGGUGGUUGAUUAAGUCUGAUGUGAAAGCCCACGGCUUAACCGUGGAGGGUCAUUGGAAACUGGUCGACUUGAGUGCAGAAGAGGGAAGUGGAAUUCCAUGUGUAGCGGUGAAAUGCGUAGAGAUAUGGAGGAACACCAGUGGCGAAGGCGGCUUCCUGGUCUGUAACUGACACUGAGGCGCGAAAGCGUGGGGAGCAAACAGGAUUAGAUACCCUCGUA
RNAcentral lists this ribosomal RNA (269 nucleotides) under uncultured prokaryote. RNAcentral's name for it is "partial 16S ribosomal RNA". It matches the Rfam family "Bacterial small subunit ribosomal RNA", at positions 524 to 792 of the family's 1533-position model. The record is from RNAcentral.